Non-coding RNA from Bemisia tabaci, 3099 nucleotides. NCBI's taxonomy places the organism in Eukaryota, Metazoa, Arthropoda, Insecta, Hemiptera, Aleyrodidae. The record is from RefSeq and is a predicted model, not a curated record.
CCGACGCCGACGCGACGCCAUUUUCUUUCCUGUUUGAAUUUCUCCAGCUGUUGUGCCGCUAUCUCGACGCUUCAGAUUAAUUACCUGCAAUUAAGUUUUCUCAUGAAGAACCUGUCGAAUUUUGACUCUCCUUUCUAUUCGAUUGAAACAUUUGCACGAAUGCCGCCAGACUAAGUAAUGUGAAGGUGCUACCAUCCUCUCUCAUCCCAGAUGGUGUUUUCUCUGUGCAGUGAGAUAAGCAGCAGCUUGCUAUCCAGUCGCCAACCUAUGGUCUAAAACCAGGGUAAAGGUCUCCAAAAAUUUUAAUCUAUCCUUUUUAUUCAUUUAAAAUUAUUUUUUGACAUGUCUGGUUGUCAUGGGUGGAUUUUAUGACCGGGCAGAAAAAUUGUGGUCUCGCACAAAGAAACAUAUCUUGUCUGCCUUGUUUCACAAUUUUUUCAAACAUUUUAUUUUUCAUUACAGAACUGUCGCACUCAUUAGCCUGAAAAUUUUAGAGUCUUUUCUCCCAUCAAGGGUGAAGAAGAAUCACCUGAAAAUUCAGAACAAUCUGGACCGCAUUUAGCAGGAAGGAACCAAGCCACAUAAGCUAUUGCCAAAUUUAAUCCGGCAAUUCAAUUUUUCAUAUAAUAACGAUUGUGCAAAUUUCAGUUAAUUUUUCGCAUAGUAUAAUGCAAAUUCAUUCUAAAUUUUCCAAGGAAUCUGCGCGAAAUUUUUUAGUGAAAUAUAAGAUUGUCCAGUUAAAUUUGGCAAUAGCUGAUGUGGCUUGCUUCCUUUUUGCCAAACGUCGUCCUUCUGUGCAAAGGUAAUGUAAUCAAAUAAAAUGUAAGUUAUGAAAUGCUGAAUCAGCGCAAUCAAAAUACUUUUCUUUGUCUAGGUCACGGUCUGUCACUCGGGGAAAAUGUUACAUCUCAAAGUCUGCAUGUAGGAGGGUUUGCCAUUCACUGGAAAUUAGUUUGCAUUCUCUUCAGUAAAUUAUUUCUUAGUAGCAAUUACCUCAAAAUUCGAAUCCCUCAAUUACUCAAUUUUCUCAAGGCAGUUAAUGCUGUAUUUCCAUGACACCAAUCUGGGAUAGAAACCAUAGUAAUCGUGGCAUCGUAAAUUGUUGGUGGGCUGGGUGAGGUAAAUAGGCCUCUCACAAACUAUGAUGGACCCUUUGCCAUUUUUUAGCUUUCUCAUGUUGUGAGCAUAAUCUCUCAGUUUGGUCAACUUUGAAAUUAUUCUUGCCGUACAGAAGUGAAGAUGGUCUGAAUUUUUUGGCCCAGUUGAUGGCUCUCACAUGUGGAAUGAAAGCAUGUGCAAGUUUGAGAUCACCAAGAAAUUUUUGGGCUGAUAGAAAAUUGAAGAUUCGAACUGUUUAGAUGGACAGAAUUCCAUUGUUUCACGCUUCAGUCCUCCAAUUUAUGGAUAUGUCAAUUCAUUCUCGGGUUAGUCGCUCGUUUCAAGGCUUUGUCGAUGGAUUUGAGAUGGUCGAUUGAAUCCAUAGGUACCACCCUCUCCUGUUCGAGAUUAAUUAAACCAUUUAUUUUCUGUUUUAAAUGAGUAGCAAUUCCGAUACUUGCCUUCAUUAUUGUCUGAGCAGUAUCGCCUCUUUUUUUUCUUUGACAGUACUACUUAUGUCCAACGGCAAGGUUGGCUUACGCAAUGCACAAAUAUAACACUGGUCAACACGGGUCAAUUUGCCUACGAACUGUUAAUUCUGCCUGAGCUAAUUUUUCGCUCCGAGUCCAAACAUGACCUGUAGUUUGCUGGGUUAGGUCGAUUUUCCCCGAACAAUUUGAAUUUUCCUUAAAAAUCAAGUUUUUCUUGGUAAAAUCGGAAUUUUCCUUGGAAAUCAAGCUUUUCUAGAGAAAAGUCACAUUUCUGGAAAAUCUGUGCACAGCGGAGAAGCACUGAGGUCAUUUUCAGAUUCAGCAACCUGAAAAACAUAAGGAAUUUAUUAUUGCAUGUCCAUUGCCCAUUUCCAUUCCCAAUAUCGAGGCUUUUCCUGUCAAGUGCUGCGCGAAACAAUCGGAUGAGCUUCAUAUGGCGUAUAUCGGGGGAAAGGAGCUCUUGAUCGGGAAAACCUUGAUUUUAGGAAUAGGGAUAAAAUUUCAAUGGGCAUGCAACUUGUCUCAUCUCAUGUAAUUUUGGCUGCUGAAUCCGAAAAGGACCUUAGUUUUUCUCAAUCGUGUUCAGAUUUUCCCAAAAGUAGACUUUUCCCUAGAUAAACAAAGGCAAAGUAAAAUUUUUUUUUUUUGAUAACCAGUGAGUUGAAACAGGUAGCCUGAAAGGCCACGCGACUUUUUUGAUUGAACAGCUGAUCGGUUAGGGUCUUAUCGUACCUCAGUGUGCUACUUAAGCUCGAUGCGCCCCAUAGUCAAUCCGAACGUCACUUGUUUUGUACAAAGAUCGAAAUAAAAUGUGUCUUAAAAUCGGAUUCCAUUACACCCACAUUUUCCAUCUGUCAAGGAUUCCUCUAUCUGCUCCCGUUCAGUGAAUUUUCAUUUCUUACUUUUAAUGCGGUAAAAAGAAAUUAAACUUCUUGUUCAACAAAUCUACUUGUUUUAAGUAAUCCAGUCUCAUUGCUGAUCUCCCACUAUCGUCUAUCACUCAUUAAAUUUGUACGCCUUUUGAAGUAAUUGCUAUGAACACUUUUGAAUCAUGUUUAUUCCAGCUUACCAAGUGAAAGAAUAUUUAUUAAUAAAGACUCUUAAUAACUUACAUCCUUAUGCUGAGUUACUUGUUUUCAUUUUCAUAUCACCUUUCGUACAUGCUAUAUUCAUUGAUUUUCACAAAUUUUUCUUGUCGGCCCUUAGUGAGGUCAUGUAAAGACUAAUACAAGCAGUAAGGAAGUUAAUUUAAAACGACUUUGUCGAAUGGUGCGUCAAAGCACAUUUUUGCAGAAACUAUCUUCUUUUUAUUCGAGCUCUUCAAUUUUUAUUUUUAACUCACACACUGUCAUGAGAUACUUAUCUAAAUUGAAAUAGUGGCUUACUUGAUUCGUUGUUUACGGGAUUUUGCUCUACAAGUGCAAUAAAGGACAUACAAAGUUGUAUUUAACUUCUGAGGAAUUGUCGGAGCAGAGGAUUAAGGACUGUUGAAUUCUUGAUGGAAUCUUAA